RNAcentral lists this unclassified non-coding RNA (335 nucleotides) under Hevea brasiliensis (rubber tree). The record is from RNAcentral. Lineage: Eukaryota; Viridiplantae; Streptophyta; Magnoliopsida; Malpighiales; Euphorbiaceae.
UAAAUUUUAAAAGUCAACCCCACUUUUUUGGUGAUCGAAGCAAAUUAGAUAUCUAAUUUUAAAAUUUGAUGGCUAAUUUGGUCUGUGUUGUGUGGUUUUUGGUUAAAAGAAAAAUUAGAGGUCUGAUUUUCAAAAUUUGAUAGCUACAGUCAACCUAAAAAUAACUUUGUAAGUAAAAUUAAAAUUAGACCGAUAAUUUUAAAAUUAGACAAUUAAUUUUAUCAAUUUACGGACCUACCAUAUCAACAAAAAAAUGAAAUAAUGAUUAAUUUGUCUAUUCUGAUUUGAACUUCCCUUAGCUAGUUUUCACGUAUGCCUACAUUGAUUUUAGGGUG